CCCAGUUCAGUGAUUAGAUUUGUAGUUAACUUGUAAACACUACACAUUAUAUUUCCAUUCUGUAGUUUAUAAGAAAGAUUAUUUCAUGAAUCUUUAAUGGGAAAAGGUAUUAGACUGCAGAAAUGUUCGGUGACGAGAUAUUUCAGAAACAAUUAUCCACCAUUAUCGAAAUAAUGGUUGCAGCGUCAGUUUCAGAGAUUGGCAAAAUCUUCGACGAAUGUUCUGCUGCUGUUAUGCCUCUAAAGUUGGUCCAGCAGAAUCAGGAAAGUAGUUUGCUUAAGAGCAAACUUCAACGUGUGCACAGAAUCAAGACAAGGCAGUUUUGCUCGUUCAUGGAGAUGUUGGGUAAAACAUCAAUGGAAAAAAUGCUAAUGUUAAUAAAUGUGAGCAUGGUCAAAACUGAGAAGACUGCCACAGUCGUGACAAAACCAAGAGACUGUCUUCAUUUCCAUAAUUACUGCACAGUCCUUCGCUCUGAAAAGUCUCGCUGGAUUGAGGAUGACCUUUGCCACCAAUCCUCACCGGUGUCCGACUCAAAUGGGCAGACGAACACAGGACCAAAGUCCAGCAGGGAUGGAGGACAGUACGAAGGGGAAGCUUCUGCAGAGGUGGCUGGGGGGACAGAUGGACAUGAUGCGGAAUUGCUCUUUGAAUUUGAUCAUCAGGAAGAAGUUCACCCUAAUCCCCAGCCCUCCGACCCCCAGCCCUCCGACCCCCAGCCCUCCGACCCCCAGCCCUCCGACCCCCAGCCCUCCGACCCAGAUAAAUGUAAUGGUCAGCCCUUGAACCAGGAGCAAACCCCUGGGAGGAUUGGGGACAUCCAGAAUGAGACCUGUGGCAAGCUGUUCAGUUUAUCUUCGUCCUUAUAUUAUCAUCAGAGGACGGUUCACAGGAAUCCCAAAGCAGACCCAUCAAAUGAGAAGUAUUGCAGUGAAACCUGUGGCAAGCUGUUCUAUUCAACUUCAUCCUUAUUCAAUCAUCGGAAGACUCAUGCUGACAAGGCAUUUGGCUGUCAUGUGUGCAGCAAAGCAUUUCGAGAGAUAGCGAAUUUAAAAAGACAUGUGAACGUACAUGUGAGAAAAGGCCAGGUUACUGUAGAAAAAGCAUUUCUAUGUGGUGUAUGUCAUAAGAGUUUCUCACGUCCGUGCAAUCUCAGAGAUCACAUGACCAUUCAUACUGGAGUGAAACGUUUCAGCUGUAGAAUAUGCUCCAAGAGUUUCCAUCUUUCAAACAGUCUCAAAGAUCACAUGACUUUACAUACCGGAGAGAGACCUUAUGUCUGUGGUCUAUGCGACAAGAGUUACUGUCGUGCAAGACAGCUCAAAGCACACGCAUUUGUCCACACUGGCGAGAAACCUUUCACCUGUGAUGUAUAUGGCAAGCGUUUCCAUCUCCCGCGCUCUUUUGAAAGACAUAAAACCAGCCAUACUACACAAAAACCUCCCUGUAAAACUUGUGGCAAAUCCUUCAGCGAUGCUAGUGCUCUCCAGCGACAUAUGGCCAUCAUCCACAGUGGAAAAAGAAAGCGCCACUACCUCGGUGAAGACUGUGGCAAACAUUUUUCUCAGGCAAAAAAACUGAAAUGGCAUAUGUGUAUACACGCCAGUGAAAAACAUUUUGUCUGUGACGUGUGUGGGGAGAACUUAAGCAGUCCAGUGACUCUCAGAAGACACAACCAUUCUCACGCGGGGCAAAAGUCACAUUUGUGUACAACGUGUAGUAAAGGUUUUUCCCAGUUAUUCACCCUCAGGAUACAUCAACGCGGUCAAACUGGGAGGAAGCUGUACUUGUGUGGUAUCUGCGGGAAGAGCUUCACCACGUAUGCCUACAUCAAGAAACACAAGGAGAUUCACCUGCCCAGGCACCUUUCUUCAAGACCGCCACGGGAGAAGUUUGCACACCUCUGUAGUCACUGUGGUAAAGGCUUCCACGAAAAAACUAUUCUGAACCUACACAUGGGCACUCACACAGGAGAUAAACCAUUCACCUGUCAAGUCUGUGGAAAAUGUUUCACUUUUAAGGCUACUCUUACUGGCCACAUGCGCACUCACAAGGGACAGAGGCCGUUCAAAUGUGCCGUUUGUGGUAAAUGUUUUGCAUUUAGGUCUGUUCUGAUAAACCAUGAACUAAUUCACCCUGGGGAGAGACCAUAUGCUUGUGAUGACUGUGGCAAGCAUUUCAAACAGAGAUAUCAUUUAGCAUCUCACCAACGUGUGCAUACUGGCAUCAAACCCUUUGUGUGCAACAAAUGUGGAAAUGCAUAUGCCUGGAGACAGAAUCUCAAAUUUCAUAAGUGCAGGGUUAAAUAGAAAACGGACCAUGGUGUGAGAGUAUUCUGUUUUGUUUCAGAUUUUGAUACUACCUUUUCUUGUAUUCUGAUUUAUUCGUUCCCUUAUAUAUUUAUUUUUAUUUUUCUGUUGCACUCUUAUAGUACUGAAUAGAGUACGAGUAAGUCGUCUAUAAUGAAGUGCAGCCAAAUAAAGUGAGUGAAAUGUUUUUUGAUCAAUCUCCUUUGAUUUAAAGCAAGUCAAACCAUUAGCGGAUAUAUGGGAUUGUACUGUUCCAUUCUAGACUGGCAAUAAUAAUUAGGUGUGUUCAGGUGGAUCCAAAACACUAUAUUCGGCAUCUUGGGUGUUUGUGACUACGCGAAUAAACUAAAAACCUAGAAUUAUCAGCAUUUAAGGAAAUUCCACUCGUAAUGGGAAUACGCUUCCAGUGGGUGGCGCUGGUGUUAUUUGUCUUUUCUCGGUAGAUUUGCGAAUAUUCUACCAUAGAAGAAAUCGAUUCAUUCCCUCGGUUCCCCUUUCACAAACAAGACGAAAGUCCUCCAGUAACUUUUUUCCUGCACAACUUGAGACAGGUCAACAACCGAGUCCACGUAACCGCAGAGAACCGACCG
Esox lucius (northern pike) is the source of this 2899-nucleotide RNA transcript. It is a transcript of the gene named adhesion regulating molecule 1, with no coding region annotated. Lineage: Eukaryota; Metazoa; Chordata; Actinopteri; Esociformes; Esocidae. The record is from RefSeq and is a predicted model, not a curated record. The transcript is spliced from 5 exons.